AUGCUCUCGUGGUGGGGCUCCAUGUUGCUUUGGCCUGGAUGCUGCUGCCAUCUUGUGGAUGUCGCUUCUGAGGCGAAGGUUUCUUCUCUCUCCAAGGAAAGGUUAUCGUUCUUUCUCUUGCCCCAGUUAACAUUGCUCGCGUUAAUCCACAUGUUUAAAGCUCUUUCCUUAAACGCGGAGCCCCACCUAGGAGGCCCAGAAAUGGGGCCCCCCGGGUCAUCGGGGACAUUUCCCAUGCACUCCCACGGCCCACCAGGCUCCUUAAUAAGUCCUUUGGUGUUCAGUUUGCGGAGCCCUUUUCGAGGCUGCUCAUUCCACCUAUGACACCUCUCCUCGUGGCUUCAAGAAGCUGUAGCGUGUGUGGCGGCCACACUCCAGUAAAACCAUCUCAGCAGACAGGUCAGCUCAGGCUGAGGGGGUUCAAACCUUCGGUGAGUUAGGGGGAAUGUCCGCGUUAAACAUGUGAAGACUUCUUCCAGAAGAAUGAGUAGAUGAGAACAAGAACCAUUGUUCCAGCGGCCACGAGGGUGGCUGAAGCUGGCACUGUGGGGUGCUUAGAGCUUGGUCAGCCAUGGGAGAUGCCAAGGUCAUCCACUGCAUCCCGGGCCAUCACUACUCGUCCUGACUGUUGUUUUUAAUGAUGCUGGAAGAAUGGUGCUGACAACUUUAUGUGACUCUUCCUCACCUAACUCCAGUGCAUGAGCAAGUCAAGAUAUCACCUUGUGACAUCAUUGGUCCUCUUUGAAAUGAAGGAUGAACAACAACUUCUGGAUAGUGUCAGCAGUUCCUGAUUUACUCCCUUCCAGGGGCCCUUCCAUCUCCAACAAAGUCCAAAGACUAAUUUCAUUAAAAUGUAGCUUGAUAUGUUGAAAAUAUCGCUAUAUAUUUUGUUUUUAAUUUAUGAAUGUAUCUCUCCUUUACCCUAGGUCAAGAGCAUGAGGAGUGAGCUCCUUUUAGUUCAUAAGUCUGUAUUCAUGGUGUGAAGUAAGCUUACUCCUUGGGCCAGUAUAGACUUUGCCUUCUAGGAACUUUCUAUCUAGUUGAGGCAAUAAAAGACCUGUGUAGACCCUGCCCUCUAGGAAU
RNAcentral lists this long non-coding RNA (1083 nucleotides) under Monodelphis domestica (gray short-tailed opossum). RNAcentral describes it as "lncRNA (ENSMODG00000044933.1)". Lineage: Eukaryota; Metazoa; Chordata; Mammalia; Didelphimorphia; Didelphidae. The record is from RNAcentral.